RNAcentral lists this long non-coding RNA (1151 nucleotides) under Homo sapiens (human). RNAcentral describes it as "long non-coding RNA NONHSAT202615.1". Lineage: Eukaryota; Metazoa; Chordata; Mammalia; Primates; Hominidae. The record is from RNAcentral.
GUUUUCCGGCAGCAUGGUAGUAUUGAGAUAGCUAUGUGUGUCUCUGUAUAUGCUGAUGUUUAGGAAUGCUCUUCAGAUGUGAAAUUUUCUUUUUGUUUUUGCUUUUUGGCUCGUAAAUUGGAUAUUUCAUCUGGAGUGGACAAGUACAACAGUGGCAAGUACAUGGAAUAAUAAAGAAGACUUUGAUCUUAAAUCUAAAGAACUUGGCUAAUUCGGGAGAUAGCCAUAUGAAAACUUUAAAACAGAAGUAUGGGUAGCUGACUUGAAGUAACUCUAUGUCAAAUAGUCGUAGGUUAAGUAUCUUCAAAGAACUUCGAUAUUAUUUCAGAGGAUACAAAAUAAAAAUACAAACUGGAAAAUAAAGAUUACAGAGAAAAAACCAACACCUUCCUGUGCAGUCCUGUUGGAAUUUGGACUUGCCAUGAGGUGUUGAAGCCUUGUUUCACUGAGUUGGAGAGACUGGACCUAAAUGGCGCAGCAUGACUUUGCUCCAGCCUGGCUUAAUUUCCCUACUCCACCAUCAUCAACAAAGUCGUCAUUGAAUUUUGAGAAGCAUUCUGAAAACUUUGCAUGGACAGAGAAUCGUUAUGAUGUGAACCGUCGACGACACAACUCUUCAGAUGGCUUUGAUUCUGCUAUUGGGCGUCCUAAUGGAGGUAACUUUGGAAGGAAAGAAAAAAAUGGAUGGCGUACACAUGGAAGAAAUGGUACAGAAAACAUAAAUCAUCGAGGUGGAUACCAUGGUGGAAGUUCCCGUUCUCGUAGCAGUAUUUUCCAUGCAGGAAAAAGCCAAGGACUACAUGAAAACAACAUACCUGACAAUGAAACCGGGAGGAAAGAAGACAAGAGAGAACGCAAACAGUUUGAAGCUGAGGAUUUUCCGUCUUUAAAUCCUGAGUAUGAGAGAGAACCAAAUCACAAUAAGUCUUUAGCUGCAGGUGUGUGGGAAUAUCCUCCGAAUCCUAAAUCUAGAGCUCCAAGGAUGCUGGUCAUUAAGAAAGGUAAUACAAAAGACUUACAGCUAUCUGGAUUCCCAGUAGUAGGAAAUCUUCCGUCACAGCCAGUUAAGAAUGGAACUGGUCCAAGUGUUUAUAAAGGUUUAGUCCCUAAACCUGCUGCUCCACCUACAAAACCUACACAAUGGAAAAGCC